UACAGAGGUCUCAAGCGUUGUUCGGAUUCAUUGGGCGUAAAGCGCGUGUAGGCGGCCAGGUAGGUCCGCUGUGAAAACCCGAGGCUCAACCUCGGGACGUCGGCGGAAACCAUCUGGCUAGAGUCCGGAAGAGGAGAGUGGAAUUCCCGGUGUAGCGGUGAAAUGCGCAGAUAUCGGGAAGAACACCCGUGGCGAAGGCGGCUCUCUGGGACGGUACUGACGCUGAGACGCGAAAGCGUGGGGAGCGAACAGG
This 253-nucleotide ribosomal RNA is filed under the name uncultured bacterium. RNAcentral's name for it is "partial 16S ribosomal RNA". It matches the Rfam family "Bacterial small subunit ribosomal RNA", at positions 524 to 776 of the family's 1533-position model. The record is from RNAcentral.